AUGUUGCUGAAUGAUAGUUUUAUGAGAAGAACAGUCUUCCUUAUCCAAGGAUGCCUGUUAAAAUUCAUUUCAUGAGGAGUGCUAGGGUCACACCCUCUAACACACUCUUUUAACACACCCCAAUAACAAUUAGCCAAGUCAUCUAUUUUUUUUUUAUUCACUUACAUGCUGACCGGUUGUUCAGGUUGCAAGAUAUAACCUUUUGUCAAAAACAAAAAAAAAAAAAAAUUGAAUGUUACUCGGAUUUUCUGCAAUUUCUCCGAUCAAUCUGACUUAUUCUUUUCCGAUUAAGGUCGUUUUUGUCAACAUCUCUUUUGUGAGUUCUAUUGAUUAUUGUAAAGAUUGAAAUCUUAGGGUUUUGAAUUGAAUAAGGAAGAUCGUGACGUUUAGAAUUUGAUUUUGCUGAAGAUGAAAGAAAAUUGAAGGUUUGUGAUGGUGAAAAUGAUGAAGCUUGAAUGAAGAGCUUGGUGCUCUUCUCCUUGAUACCAUAUAACAGAACAAUUAAUGAAGUUUCGAUAUGGUCUAUGUUUGUUGCAGGUGUUUUCCAGAUCUUUUUCUAAAUUAUUUCUUCGGAGUGAUUCUAUUAUUUUUUUGGGCCGGGUUCCAUUCUCCUGUGUUGGUGGCAAUCUUUAUGUUUGAGUUUUCUUACACAUCAAUAGGAGAGAAAAAGUGAAUGGACAGAGGAGAAGUGAAGAACCUGCUGGAACAUGAAUGAACAGUGUUGGUGAGAAAUUGAAGACCGAAGAUGAAAAGUUAAG
Molecule: long non-coding RNA, 758 nt
Filed under: Trifolium pratense (red clover)
Lineage: Eukaryota; Viridiplantae; Streptophyta; Magnoliopsida; Fabales; Fabaceae
Description: long non-coding RNA (TPRA_LNC005762)
Source: RNAcentral